RNAcentral lists this ribosomal RNA (301 nucleotides) under uncultured bacterium. Its description in RNAcentral is "partial 16S ribosomal RNA". It matches the Rfam family "Bacterial small subunit ribosomal RNA", at positions 509 to 807 of the family's 1533-position model. The record is from RNAcentral.
CAGUCGCCGCGGGAAUACGUAGGUGGCAAGCGUUGUCCGGAAUUAUUGGGCGUAAAGGGCUCGCAGGCGGUUUCUUAAGUCUGAUGUGAAAGCCCCCGGCUCAACCGGGGAGGGUCAUUGGAAACUGGGAAACUUGAGUGCAGAAGAGGAGAGUGGAAUUCCACGUGUAGCGGUGAAAUGCGUAGAGAUGUGGAGGAACACCAGUGGCGAAGGCGACUCUCUGGUCUGUAACAGACGCUGAGGAGCGAAAGCGUGGGGAGCGAACAGGAUUAGAUACCCCAGUAGUCCCUGUCUCUUAUAC